RNAcentral lists this ribosomal RNA (741 nucleotides) under Salmonella enterica. Its description in RNAcentral is "partial 23S ribosomal RNA". It matches the Rfam family "Bacterial large subunit ribosomal RNA", at positions 2202 to 2925 of the family's 2925-position model. Lineage: Bacteria; Pseudomonadati; Pseudomonadota; Gammaproteobacteria; Enterobacterales; Enterobacteriaceae. The record is from RNAcentral. RNAcentral also lists the same sequence under 2 other names.
ACCCUUUAAUGUUUGAUGUUCUAACGUGGACCCGUGAUCCGGGUUGCGGACAGUGUCUGGUGGGUAGUUUGACUGGGGCGGUCUCCUCCUAAAGAGUAACGGAGGAGCACGAAGGUUGGCUAAUCCUGGUCGGACAUCAGGAGGUUAGUGCAAUGGCAUAAGCCAGCUUGACUGCGAGCGUGACGGCGCGAGCAGGUGCGAAAGCAGGUCAUAGUGAUCCGGUGGUUCUGAAUGGAAGGGCCAUCGCUCAACGGAUAAAAGGUACUCCGGGGAUAACAGGCUGAUACCGCCCAAGAGUUCAUAUCGACGGCGGUGUUUGGCACCUCGAUGUCGGCUCAUCACAUCCUGGGGCUGAAGUAGGUCCCAAGGGUAUGGCUGUUCGCCAUUUAAAGUGGUACGCGAGCUGGGUUUAGAACGUCGUGAGACAGUUCGGUCCCUAUCUGCCGUGGGCGCUGGAGAACUGAGGGGGGCUGCUCCUAGUACGAGAGGACCGGAGUGGACGCAUCACUGGUGUUCGGGUUGUCAUGCCAAUGGCACUGCCCGGUAGCUAAAUGCGGAAGAGAUAAGUGCUGAAAGCAUCUAAGCACGAAACUUGCCCCGAGAUGAGUUCUCCCUGAGACUUAAAGUCUCCUGAAGGAACGUUGAAGACGACGACGUUGAUAGGCCGGGUGUGUAAGCGCAGCGAUGCGUUGAGCUAACCGGUACUAAUGAACCGUGAGGCUUAACCUUACAACGCCGAAG